Molecule: long non-coding RNA, 247 nt
Organism: Numida meleagris (helmeted guineafowl)
Lineage: Eukaryota; Metazoa; Chordata; Aves; Galliformes; Numididae
Exons: 3
Source: RefSeq, a predicted model, not a curated record
GGAAGAGGGGGAGCAAAUACAAUGAAAAAGGGCUGAAGGGCUGAAGUAAGGACAGGGAGAUCACUCACCGGUUACUGACACAGGAGACAUUUGACAAGCUGUGAAGACAUUGGCCAGACAACCAUUGGGCAGAGCUACACAGGAGUGAGACAGUGACAACGUUACCCAGGAGGAUUUGCUCCAUCUUCAUCCUACUUCAGCAUUCACAGGUUCAUCUACCAGAGCCUAGGGAGCAUGUGUCCAGCAG